GCCUGGGUGGCUCAGUCGGUUGAGCGUCCGACUUCGGCUCAGAUCAUGAUCUCACGGUUCGUGGGUUCGAGCCCCGCGUCGGGCU
This 85-nucleotide transfer RNA is filed under the name Felis catus (domestic cat). It matches the Rfam family "tRNA". From Rfam's summary of the family: Transfer RNA (tRNA) molecules are approximately 80 nucleotides in length. The record is from Rfam by way of RNAcentral. Lineage: Eukaryota; Metazoa; Chordata; Mammalia; Carnivora; Felidae.